This 253-nucleotide ribosomal RNA is filed under the name uncultured archaeon. RNAcentral's name for it is "partial 16S ribosomal RNA". It matches the Rfam family "Archaeal small subunit ribosomal RNA", at positions 474 to 727 of the family's 1478-position model. The record is from RNAcentral.
AACCAGCACCUCAAGUGGUCAGGAUGAUUAUUGGGCCUAAAGCAUCCGUAGCCUGUUUUGUAAGUCUCCGGUUAAAUCCAUCAACUCAAGUGAUGGGCUGCCGGAGAUACUGUAAAACUAGGGAAUGGGAGAGGUAGACGGUACUCGAUAGGAAGGGGUAAAAUCCUUUGAUCUAUUGAUGACCACCUGUGGCGAAGGCGGUCUACCAGAACAUGUCUGACGCUGAGGGACGAAAGCGUGGGGAGCGAACAGG